Molecule: long non-coding RNA, 6083 nt
Organism: Homo sapiens (human)
Lineage: Eukaryota; Metazoa; Chordata; Mammalia; Primates; Hominidae
Source: Ensembl
CAGUGGCCUGGCGCAGGAAAGGUGACCCAGUAGUUCAGCCUGUCCCAGCUGCCUGCCCCAGCACCAUCCCAGACCCCUUUCCCUGGGGCCCACCUUGGCCCUGAGGAAGGCCAGAGCUCGGCUGCUGUUCUCCAGGAAGUGCACACGCAGGCGGCCCCGGCUCGGGGGUGGCAGGGCCUCCCCUGAGAUGAGCUCCAGCAGCCGCAGGAGGUGGAUGCCGUCAGCCAGCUCUGUGUACAGGUUCCGGAUCUUGAUGCCCGCCUGGGGAGGGGACAGGGGUAAGUAUGGGGUCAGCCCAGCCUCACCUGUCCUCCCAUCCUGGGACCUGAGAGGUACGACCCAGAGCAGCUGCUUUGGAAGAAGGAGCUCUGGCCUCAGCUUGGCCUCAGGCAGAUGACCCCACAGCUCACCCCGGAGGCCCACUGGCCAGAGCUGGGGGCCUGGUAUGGGUGGGCUGUGGGUCACAGCUGGCUAUACUCACCUGGCCGCACUGGAAGACGUUAUUGAUCCACUUGGUGAAAGUCUUCUCCUGCAUCUGCAUGUGCCGGGCCUGUAGCUUGCGAAUGUGGCCCGUCUCGUACUGAGAGUCCAUGGUGAGACUUGGACUGGGCGGGACCCGGAGUUCUGUGCUGGGCCUCCUGCUGCGGUGCCCUGCAGCCCCGAGGAGCUCCCGGGGACUGUGGGGCUGACCAGCCAUCAGCCCUGCAGACUUUGGGGAUGAGGAGCUGCUGGAUGGCUCCCUAAACCUGGAGGGCAUGCAGAUUAGGGGAUGAUGUGAAUGGAGAUGGCCCCUCUACCAGGGGCCUGGGGUCCCGCCUUGCCAGACUGUCCUCACAUUUCAUGGGGGUUGCAGCUUGGAGCCCAGCCAGGUAAGGGCCAGUGCUUCUGGUCCCCUGUGCUUGAAUGGCCCAGGGCCCCCUUUGCCCCACCCCACCUUCCAGAUUCUUCUUCUCAGAGCCCCUGCUGCCAGGUCCCUCCACCACAGUGACUGGGACAGGUGGAAGGAAGACAGGAAACUGCUUACCUUGGUGAUGCCUGGGUCCCACAGAGACGGCUCUGCUGGACGGAUGGAGAUGGUAGAUAGCAGGGGCUGCUUACCUUGGUGAUGCCUGGGUUCCACAGAGGCGGCCCAGCUGGACGGAUGGAGAUGGCAGAUAGCAGGGGCUGUGGAGGGAGGGAGAGGGACAUCAGGAGAGGCCAAGGCUGGAGCAGGGCUGCACCACAGCCCUCCCCUUGAGCCAGCGUGCUGGGGUGACGGCACACAGGCGGCAUUGUCCUCCCACCUGCCACAGGGCGUGGCCCAGACAGGGAGGGGGUGGUUCAGGAAUGCUCCAGGGCCAUUGCCAGAUGAUGUCCUCCUUCAUCAUCCUCCCUUCCCCGCCAGCAACUUCUCCAACUCCAGGUGGGGGUCCUGGCUCCCAGGACGCAGAGGCCCAUGGAGCGGCCCUGCCACCGCAUGGGGUGCUGCAGUCUGCGUAGGAGGUACCAAAGGGCAGAGCCUCUGUGGGAAGCCUGUGGACGCACUUCCCAAUCUGAGACUGCCCUCUGUACCCUCUUGGGGCCUCUCUGUGAGCACCCAGGGCGAGGGGAUGAGGGAGCGUCCUGGGCCGUGGUCUUCUCAUUCACCCCCAGGGAACAGCCCAUAGACUGAGGGCCUCACAGACCCUGGGCUUGGCUUUCCAGGCCCUGCCAGAGUGCAGCCUGCCUAGCCCGGGGCUGAAGGGUAGGCUCCCUGGAGGAAGGGGUGACCUGGAACUGCGAGGGCUGUGGAGUCUCCUCCAAAAUUAGAGACACGGUGUUAACUCUGGGCUCCACAGAGCUGGCCGUGGCCCGGGGCUCGGAGGCAGGGGUGCAGAGGGAGCUGGUGGGCGCCCAUCCCUUCCUCCCCGAGCAGCCGUGGACUACAUGCCAGAGUGAAGGCGAGUUCUAAUUCUGGGGGUCUCACCCGCCUCUGGCUAAACUCAGGGUAGCAGUGUGGGCUGGGGUGUGUGUGUGUGGGUGUCUUCCAGCGGCCCUGGAGCCUCUGAAGCGACAGCCCGCUCCUCAGGGAGGCGCUCCUGGCAGCCACAGCCCACAGCAGGACAGCCGCUCAGCGCGCCCUUGAGAGCUGGGCUAGGGAUGAGUCACACUUGAACCGCCUGGGCCCACUGCAGGCAGUCAGGGGUGACGCUGAGAGGUGCCGUGGUCUCGGGUGGGGUGCGGCUUCCUGCGUCUGAGAGACGCUUCCUCUCCUGCUGUCCUCUCCCUGCCAGGCCCCUUCUGCAGCGGCUGGCUUCCAGACACCCUGCGUCCCUCCCUUGCUCGCAGCAGUUGCUGUGGCGGUCCUCCCGUGCACCCCCCCUUCUGCCCUCACUGCCCCUGGGGGUCCUCAUCACGGACCCCCUAACUCGGCAUCCUGGACACCACCACCCCGCACCUUUCCACAGUGCAGCUCUGCUCGUGCCUGUGAAGCCUCCCACAGCCUGGGAAGGAAAAUCCAGACUUGCCAGACCUUGCCUCAGCCAGGCCUUGGAAGCCUGCCAGCUUACCUAACCAGGCUAGUCUGCCCCCCUCACUCUGGGUGCUCUCCAUGGGCCACUCACCAUUUCCUGAGCAGGACCAGAGCUCUCCUGCCCCAAGGCUGGGCUUCAGCUGCUCUUUCAGCUUUGAACGUCCUUUCCCAUUCUCCAUCAUCCACAUUCACCUAUCCUGCCUGCCCCAGUUAAAAUCCUGUUUCUUCUAGGAAGUCCCUCAUCCCACCCGCUUACCCCAGGGAGACUGAGCUUGUUCCUUCUCCUAGUAAGACCCUCAGCCCAUGGAGUCCUGUGUGAUGUUGUGAGCGUGGGAGGACAGACUGAACUGCUCGGCCCGUGGAGUCCUGUGUGAUGUUGUGAGCGGGGAGGACAGACUGAACUGCGUGGUGCUUCGCACAUAGACCUCAACAGGGAUUGGCAUUUUGAAGCUGUUGGCGGGGGCUGUGGACUGCUUUUCUUCCUUUCUAGCUCAACGGCAGCUAAAGCCACUGCAUACAAUGCAAGGACUGGCUCCUGUUUGGCCACGACUGAUUGCAGCCCCUGGUGAAAUGAGAACCCUGUGGGUCGGAACAAAGUUUGGAUUAUUUAUGUUGCAAGUAACUAAAAUCUCAAGUGAAACUGGUUUAAACAUUAUAUUUUUAUUAUUUAUUUAUUUAUAUUUAAUUCUUUUUUAGAGACAGGGUCUUCUUAGGUUGCCCAGGCUGGUCUUGAACUCCUGGCCUCAACGAUCUUCCCACUUCAGCCUCCUGCAUUGCUGGGAUUAUAGGUGUGAGCCACCAUGCCUGGCUUACACAGUAUAAAGGGAAUGCAUUGGCCCACACAGUGGAAAAAAAUAUCUAGUAGGAAUAGGAAGGACUUCAGGUGAGGUUUGAUCCAGCAGCUCAAAUGUUGUCACCACAGGCCUGGAUUCCUCUGGCCUUUCUCAAGGUCUCUUUCAUUUUCAUGCUCCACAAGAUGGCUUCUGCCAGGCUGACCUCCCUCCCCUGACCCCAGCAGCUCUGGACACCCCUCUCAGUGCCAUUUAUAUUGUUGCAUCAAUAGGCUCAUUUCUAUAUACUGCAAGGUUCAGAGAAGACAGAGUAUCUCUCUCAAGAGUUCUAACAUAAGUCUGGGGGUCCUGGCUCUCAUAGGCUUGAACAGGGCCACAUGUCCAUUCCUGAGCCAAUAUUUGUGACCAAGGGGAUGUGGUCAAUCUCAUCCAAACCUCACUUGAAGUGAGGGUGGGAGGAGGAGUGCUCUGCAAGGAGACUGUAGGUCUGGACCACCAAAAAGGUAGAUGGGUUGGUGGGAAAAGCCAGAUGCCUACUAUGGUAGUGGGCGGGGGGAGGGCACACUGGCAAGGUACAGCAAGAGGCAGGGGCAGUGCUGGACAGGCAGGGGCUCCUCCCUAGCACGACUGGAGAAAGGACUCCUGUGAAGCGGUCACCUCCAUGAGUCCCUCCUGUCCUGGCUUCCAACCACUCUGAAGUGGGGCUUUUGUCCACAGACCUGGCCUCUGCUGCCUACCCUCUUCUGUCCCCACCUGAUGGGGCCGCUUUCCUUCUGAAGCGGCUGCAUUUUGGGUUUCUCUCCACAGGAAGAGUUGGGGCUCACAGGCACACCCUCUCCCUAACUCUUCUCCCCCGGUUCAACCUGGAUCCAGGGAUCCACACUCUGCUCCGAGAGGCCAGCACGCAGCCACUGGAAAAUGAGCCAGUGGGAGAGGGCAGCUCCAUGUUUAUUGAUCAGCAGACUAUGUCUUUUUGUUUGAAACUUCUAAAUAAGAUUACAAAAAGAAAAAAAAUAGAAGCAUUGCGUAUUAACUGCAUUGGUUAACCAACAUUGGAACCCAAUACUCUUGUAUUAGGCCCGCAUUUACCUGAGUAAACUCAGUGGUUUUCUGUCCUAAGCAUGCUUGCCUGCUACAUCCCAUGGAGAAAAUAAACAGUGAAACACUUUCCUCAUCUUCAAGGCAAUUGUCUCAGGCAUCCUCCAGGCAUCAUGAAGGAGGGUGAGCGAGGGUGCGAGGUGGAAAGGUCCAGGCCGCGGCUGUGACUCCCGCGGGUGAACCACAGCUCCACAGCCCCAAAUCCAAAGAUGCUCUUGCUGCAGCACGACAAGUGUUCAAAAGAGAACCAGGCCCAGCCCGGAGAAAGGAAAGCCAAAAGCCAACUGAAUGAAUGACCCUCCCCCAGAAGAGCAACCCUGCCCCCAGGCCAUCCAAGUGCGAACAUUACCAGGUGCCAGCAGGGAAAGGACUCCGCUGCCUGACGCCUCUCCCACCUGAGAGCGCAGAGGUAGGGAGAUCACAGUGCCUGAGAGGUUUUCCUCCACGGAGAAAUCAGAGACCUCAACCUGCUGCCCUCUAAAGCAGCUUUCUGUAUCCAGACAAAACUUACAUAUGUACACGUUGUUUUAAAACGACAUACUCAUGUGACACACAUGUAUAUAAAUUCAUGUUUAUAUAUGACAAUUGAGGAGAGUUAAAGAACAAGAUAAUUCUGGAUGGAAAAAUCAGUUUGCCUGGGCAUCUGUAAACCUUUGGGCAAGUGAAUUCCCUCUUCUCUCUCAGUUCACCCUUUGGUGACCUCCACCGUGGCUGCAGACUUCAGGUGGUCCUCACGCAUUCACAGAACUGUCUGCUUAGGUUACAGCACUUUGGGAGGCCGAGGUGGGUAGAUCACGAGGUCAGGAGAUCGAGACCAUAUUGACCAACAUGGUAAAACCCCAUCUCUACUAAAAUACAAAAAUUAGCCGGGCGUGGUGGCGGGUGCCUGUAGUCCCAGCUACUUGGGAGGCUGAGGCAGGGGAAUCACUUGAACCUGGGAGGCGGAGGUUGCAGUGAACUGAGAUUGCGCCACUGCACUCCAGCCUGGGUGACAGAGACUUCCUCUCAAAAUAAAAAUAAAAAUAAUAAAAUAAUAAAUGGUUCUUUUCUAUGCGUCUAAUGAAUUUAAGUGCUUGUUAAGACUAAAAACCAUGUUAUGCAUUUCCUGCUCUUAAAACUAAAUUAUGUAGAAAGUAAGCUAGGGAGUGUAAGGGUAGGCAUCUGGAUAUAAAUGCUUCUCCCAAAUCAAGAUUUUCUCUUCAAUCUGUGCCUUUGACCCUGUCACCAAAGGCAGGUGACAGAAAAAAAAAAUUAUGUGCCUUUUGGAAGACUCAGUGGGACGGUUCUGAUUUCAUUCACUUCUGGUGCCAGCAGGCCCCCAUACCAUGUGGCCAUUGCUGUUUCGUGUCUCUUCCUGCAUAAAUAAUGCAGAGAGGCCAUGCAGGUAUGCAAUUUUCUGGAGAUGAGGCAGGGAGAUUUGCAAGGAAAAGUCACCUACCUCCCCAAGCUGGUGCCCACAGAGGGGGAGGCACCUCCACCUGACGCAGGUGUCUGAGCAGCAGUCCAGAGAGGUUUACUCAGGGGAUUUGGGGAGCGCACACUCUGGAGCAGAAGUACAGGUAUGUGCCCGAAUCCUGCCUCGUGAUGGGCAUUCAUGAUACGAACCACACAGCCUUUAAAGAAAAGGUUUUAUAUGAAAGGUUCCAUUUUGUUUCUGUAUAAAGGCUUUUAUCCUGUAAGGAAAAAAAAAAAACACAAAACCC